CAGUAGCCGCGGUAAUACGGAGGGGGCUAGCGUUGUUCGGAAUUACUGGGCGUAAAGCGCACGUAGGCGGCUUGGUAAGUUAGAGGUGAAAGCCUGGAGCUCAACUCCAGAAUUGCCUUUAAGACUGCCGAGCUAGCAGGUGAGAGAGGUAAGUGGAAUUCCGAGUGUAGAGGUGAAAUUCGUAGAUAUUCGGAAGAACACCAGUGGCGAAGGCGGCUUACUGGCUCAUACUGGACGCUGAGGUGCGAAAGCGUGGGGAGCAAACAGGAUUAGAUACCCGUGUAGUCCCUGUCUCUUAUAC
Molecule: ribosomal RNA, 301 nt
Filed under: uncultured bacterium
Lineage: Bacteria
Description: partial 16S ribosomal RNA
Rfam family: Bacterial small subunit ribosomal RNA
Source: RNAcentral